Molecule: non-coding RNA, 157 nt
Organism: Pseudonaja textilis
Lineage: Eukaryota; Metazoa; Chordata; Lepidosauria; Squamata; Elapidae
Source: RefSeq, a predicted model, not a curated record
AGAUGGUUUAAUGCUACAGCCAGUGGUGUAUUAACCAUUAAGUAGAGUAAGCACAUGCUUAGGGCACCAGGCCCAAAGGGGGCACCACAAAGUUGAGACUAUGGCUUCGUUUGUACGGUAUGUACUAAGGAGGGGGGGGGUACCAAGAUUUUUCAGU